Molecule: long non-coding RNA, 2849 nt
Organism: Dermacentor silvarum
Lineage: Eukaryota; Metazoa; Arthropoda; Arachnida; Ixodida; Ixodidae
Exons: 2
Source: RefSeq, a predicted model, not a curated record
GCCUCCUCAGUCACGUGACCGAGCAAACCUGCUUUUGAUGGCAUGCCACACUGUGCUAGCUCGGGACACUGCAAAGCUGUUGUGUGACCUUUUCACGGCACGAGAUAUACUGAUUCAUGUUUAAGUCACUCGCAUGCAAGGAGGUGCACCUACCGACUCCCAUUGCCUUAUCUCAGAACAACCGGUGUGCACUGGCCUCAAUCCAGCAUUGUAGGGCCCAUCCAGGUUCUUGUGAAAAGGUCUACAGCUGUGCAUGGUUUCUCUGGUUUCUCAAGAAAAAAGAAAAGAUGAGCAGGAAUGUAAGCAAGAUUGAGCUCUCUAUAUUAGUCGGUACUGAUUCCUUGCUCUAGCCACUGCCAGAAUACGCAUACUCCAUGGGCUCGGAUAUUCUACAAAAGUUGUAUGUUUAAUGCUGCCACACUUCCUGUUUCAUUUUCAUGGCUAUGUUGGGAUUCUGAAUUCAAAAGAAGCUGAAGCAGUAUUGAUGUCAGAGUUCUUUAUGCUUCUAAUUAUGAAUAGCCAACAUUUUUGUCUUAAUUAUUGUAUUCUUGUCACAGUUUAGUACAUGAAUAUGUAACAGCACACCAUGCUGCAAGUCAUUGUGUCAUGGUACAUUCUAUAUACAAAUGACAAAAUAAGGAAAACGCAAGAUCUUAUGUAGCAGCAAUGUCUCUCUGUGCAAUGUUAACUGAUUGCAAUAUAUUAAAUUUGGUCACAUUGGUAAAAAGGUGAACAUUAACCAAGCACUGUGCUACUAUGUAUUAUGGCUGUCGUUUUAACAAAAAAGAAAAGAAUGGUUGAGCUCUUCCGUGUAACCUCUGAAGCUCAGUGUUGCUGCACAUCGAUAUAGUGUUCUCUUCAGGAGUUCACAUUAUCUUGAUUAAUAUUGCACAUUUAAUGCAAUGGCAUUAAACUAGGAAGGCAAAGUUUCAAUGCCACAUCCUUGCAAUUUAAGAUCGUGAUCUUGGUACAGUGUUACAAACGCCGCGGUGAACUUGCUGGAUGGCUCAAAAUUUUAGCCCAUUAUAUUUUUGUGACAUAUUCACUGGCCAGUGUUCAUCUAUGCUGCUUAUCUAAGGCAGAACGAGAAAUAUGGUGUUUAUUUUAAAUUGACCGUUCACAUUGUUUUAUUAACCUUACCUGUGUAAAAUGCGAGUUCACAAAGAGAUGCUGUUGAAGAUAGGAUUUUGCUUUGCAGUCACAAUUCUGUACCCUCAAGCAAGCUUGCAUGUUCACUGCCCCUCUGUGAUUGUUGCACUACCAUUAAUCUGCCAUUUUUUGUAUGACUAGUUCUUGUUGCAUUACUUGAGAACACAUUUAUCUUUUGCAUUCAUGCACUGUCAACAUGCAUGCAAUUUUCACUUAUAAAAAAUGCUGCAUUAACAAGGCCACCCUAUUUGAAUGGCUCUUCUCAGUAACCUGCUUACUCCUUUUCGCUCCCAAUUUCACGCAUAAGUGUCGUUGUAUCGUACAUAGCCUUUAAAACAUUGUUUGGAUGCAAUACUUGCCUGCUUCAUCCAUAAUGAGCCGGAAUCACGUGUUGACUGUAGUGACAGCAAAUCAGAUGUUCUCAGUGAAAGUAACGGAUGUGCCAUCUGUUCCAAGGGAGGUGGAAAUUUCACCAAGGAAAUUGAUUUUUAGUUCCGGCGUCGUUGUAGAUGACGUGUGCCUCUUUGUCGGUGUAACAUCAUGGCAGACAACUUCUGACCUUUACUUCUACGUAAUUGAACCUGGAUGGAAGAGGCAAGUACUGCAUCCAAACGUGGCAUUAGUACUAAAUGGCAAAACCAUGACGCUGGCUUGACACUUGAUGAGAAAUGAGUUGGCAGCUUAGCUGGAAGAGUCAUUUGUACAGGGCUCCCAAAUACGUAUUCUCCACCUAACCAGUUCUGUGCGGUGCACUGAAAGCUAUGCGUUACGUCAGCCAAUGAGAAAAGAGACCCCGAAGAAGGGAUACACCAUUGUCCGCCCCUGACCGUUCUCCGCAGGACGUCGACUGAAUGGAAGCAUCGCGGAAGAGUCAGUUGCAUGCAAUGGGCAAGCCCUUCUUUAAAACACACAGCUAAUCUUUACUUAUUGGCUGACCUAGGCUUGGCUCCGCCGUGCCUGGCUCUUUUUCAGUGCACCGUACGAAGUUGGUGAGAUAGAAUAUAGAUGCAACAUUCGGCGCAUGUGCCACACAUGCAUGCAUGUUGUUGUUAUUGCAUGUUUUAGUUAAGCUUGCUGUACUGAUUUUCUUUUUAAUAACUGCUGAUCUAGUUUUGUACGUGAACCAUUUGCCGGUUGAAACUUCCCUGGCUAUUGCUGCUUUUUCUUUUCUCAGUGGGUAUCAUUAUUGGCUGUUUUGUAACAAACAUUUUUGCAGUGCACGCAUUUUGUGUCUGGUUUUGGAACCUGUUUGGUGCGUGUGUAAUGUUUAAUGCACUUGUUUUUAACAAACCUGCACAUGGUGUUCUGUUCACUGUGGGCACUAUUUUACCGCUAAUAAUUUGUAGCUUCCUGUCAUGUCGUUACUGGCUGAAGGUGGAGAUCUGUGAUAUUUCGAAAGAAUUCUAAUGUAUGUGUGUUUUUUAAAAUAGUCUUCCUCUUUAUGACCAAUGUGCUUGCUUUGCAUGGUGCAUUGUAUCAGUGCACAGUUUUCUUGAGUUAUACCUGUACACAACCUUUGCUGUAUGGAAAUCCUCGCUAGAGUCCUUGUGCUUAUGAGAGCAUGUGUUUUCUUUUGUUUUGUUUUUUUGUUUUUACCUUGCAUGAUGCUGCAUUACAAAGUUAUAUGCAGUGCAUGGACCCCUGCACCUGUCGAGCUUUUGUUUUGCUUUGAUUGGCAAUAAAGCUGGUGCGAUAUGAAA